RNAcentral lists this RNase P RNA (383 nucleotides) under Pseudomonadota bacterium. Its description in RNAcentral is "RNase P RNA component class A". It matches the Rfam family "Bacterial RNase P class A". Rfam says of the family: Ribonuclease P (RNase P) is a ubiquitous endoribonuclease, found in archaea, bacteria and eukarya as well as chloroplasts and mitochondria. Its best characterised activity is the generation of mature 5'-ends of tRNAs by cleaving the 5'-leader elements of precursor-tRNAs. The record is from RNAcentral. Lineage: Bacteria; Pseudomonadati; Pseudomonadota.
CCAGAGGGCCGGGCGGCCGCGGCGGGGACUUGUCCCCGGCGAGGAAAGUCCGGGCUCCACGGAAAGACGGUGCCGGGUAACUCCCGGCCGGAGAGUUCGCUCUUCGAGGGACAGUGCCACAGAAAGCAUACCGCCGCUCUUCGGGACGGUAAGGUCGAAAGGGUGCGGCAAGAGCGCACCGCGCCUCCGGCAACGGCGGCGGCACGGUAAACCCCACCGGGUGCAAGACCGAAUAGGGGCGGCAGAUGAGCUUUUCCGGCUCGCCGCCCGGGUUGGUCGCUUGACCCCAGGCGCAAGCCUGGGGCUAGAGGAAUGGUCGCCUAUCCGCCGUCGCCUCUGGCUUUGGCGGAGGACAGAACCCGGCUUACAGGCCCUCUGGCGUU